GGGUUUUGUUGGAGAGUUUGAUCCUGGCUCAGGACGAACGCUGGCGGCGUGCUUAACACAUGCAAGUCGAGCGGUAAGGCCUUUCGG
This 87-nucleotide ribosomal RNA is filed under the name Pseudonocardia sp. SCN 72-86. Its description in RNAcentral is "partial 16S ribosomal RNA". It matches the Rfam family "Bacterial small subunit ribosomal RNA", at positions 1 to 82 of the family's 1533-position model. The record is from RNAcentral. Lineage: Bacteria; Bacillati; Actinomycetota; Actinomycetes; Pseudonocardiales; Pseudonocardiaceae.